GAAUGAAAUGAGGAACAUUGAUGAUUUUGAUUGCUGUCAUGAUGGCAAUUAUUGUAUUAGCUCUAUCUGAUCAUUC
This is a non-coding RNA of Cucumis melo (muskmelon), 76 nucleotides long. NCBI's taxonomy places the organism in Eukaryota, Viridiplantae, Streptophyta, Magnoliopsida, Cucurbitales, Cucurbitaceae. The record is from Rfam.